Molecule: ribosomal RNA, 430 nt
Filed under: Acidobacteriota bacterium
Lineage: Bacteria; Pseudomonadati; Acidobacteriota
Description: Acidobacteria bacterium partial 16S ribosomal RNA
Rfam family: Bacterial small subunit ribosomal RNA
Source: RNAcentral
UGGGGAAUAUUGGACAAUGGGCGCAAGCCUGAUCCAGCCAUGCCGCGUGUGUGAAGAAGGCCUUUUGGUUGUAAAGCACUUUAAGCGAGGAGGAGGCUACUUGGAUUAAUACUCUAGGAUAGUGGACGUUACUCGCAGAAUAAGCACCGGCUAACUCUGUGCCAGCAGCCGCGGUAAUACAGAGGGUGCGAGCGUUAAUCGGAUUUACUGGGCGUAAAGCGUGCGUAGGCGGCUUCUUAAGUCGGAUGUGAAAUCCCUGAGCUUAACUUAGGAAUUGCAUUCGAUACUGGGAAGCUAGAGUAUGGGAGAGGAUGGUAGAAUUCCAGGUGUGGCGGUGAAAUGCGUAGAGAUCUGGAGGAAUACCGAUGGCGAAGGCAGCCAUCUGGCCUAAUACUGACGCUGAGGUACGAAAGCAUGGGGAGCAAACAGG